Molecule: ribosomal RNA, 484 nt
Filed under: uncultured bacterium
Lineage: Bacteria
Description: partial 16S ribosomal RNA
Rfam family: Bacterial small subunit ribosomal RNA
Source: RNAcentral
AUUGAACGCUGGCGGCAGGCCUAACACAUGCAAGUCGAGCGGAUGAAGGGAGCUUGCUCCUGGAUUCAGCGGCGGACGGGUGAGUAAUGCCUAGGAAUCUGCCUGGUAGUGGGGGAUAACGUCCGGAAACGGGCGCUAAUACCGCAUACGUCCUGAGGGAGAAAGUGGGGGAUCUUCGGACCUCACGCUAUCAGAUGAGCCUAGGUCGGAUUAGCUAGUUGGUGGGGUAAAGGCCUACCAAGGCGACGAUCCGUAACUGGUCUGAGAGGAUGAUCAGUCACACUGGAACUGAGACACGGUCCAGACUCCUGCGGGAGGAAGCGGUGGGGAAUAUUUCGCAAUGGGGGAGAGCGUGAUCUAGCGAUGUCGCGUGUGUGAAGAAGGUCUUCGGAUUGUAAAGCACUUUAAGUUGGGAGGAAGGGCAGUAAGUUAAUACCUUGCUGUUUUGACGUUACCAACAGAAUAAGCACCGGCUAACUUCGUG